Molecule: ribosomal RNA, 440 nt
Filed under: uncultured bacterium
Lineage: Bacteria
Description: partial 16S ribosomal RNA
Rfam family: Bacterial small subunit ribosomal RNA
Source: RNAcentral
CCUACGGGUGGCAGCAGUGAGGAAUAUUGGGCAAUGGAGGAAACUCUGACCCAGCCAUGCCGCGUGAGUGAAGAAGGUUUUCGGAUUGUAAAGCUCUUUCGGAUGUGACGAUGAUGACGGUAGCAUCUAAAGAAGCCCCGGCUAACUUCGUGCCAGCAGCCGCGGUAAUACGAAGGGGGCAAGCGUUGUUCGGAAUUACUGGGCGUAAAGGGAGUGUAGGCGGUUUAGUAAGAGAGUGGUGAAAUCCCAGGGCUUAACUUUGGAAUUGCCAUUAUAACUAUUAGACUAGAAUUACAGAGAGGAUAGUGGAAUACCCAGUGUAGAGGUGAAAUGCGUAGAUAUCAGGAGGAAUACCGUUAGCGAAGGCGGCAAUCUGGCUGGAAACUGACGCUGAGGUGCGAAAGCGUGGGGAGCAAACAGGAUUAGAUACCCCAGUAGUC